Long non-coding RNA from Uranotaenia lowii, 399 nucleotides. RefSeq lists it as uncharacterized. The record is from RefSeq and is a predicted model, not a curated record. Lineage: Eukaryota; Metazoa; Arthropoda; Insecta; Diptera; Culicidae. The transcript has 3 exons.
AUCGGAAAGCAGCCGAAAUUCACAUAUUCGCUUAUUGGAUGCGACCACCAAUGUUGACCGUACAAUAAAUUAACACUGCCACUUGCCAGUCAGGAAGUAUUGCGGAACUACUUAAGUUUCCUUAAACCACGGGAAAGACGGUGAAAAUUGAUCGCAAUGUGCUGGUGCCUUCCGGAUCGGAAGAUUUUGGCAGACGCUUCCUCCAGGACAGUUAUGUUUGGACUCAGCCUUCGUCCUAAUCGAGCCGAACAAAAAGGUGAUUAGACGGAUUCUUGAAUCAUACCGGUUACAUCAUCAGCUGGUGAAAUAUUCUAGGUCUCUCGCGUGGCAGUAAUUUCAUUCAAUUUUCCUUAAUUACAUUUAUUAGAGCUUUGGAUAACUAGGUAAGCACUUUUCUAA